RNAcentral lists this ribosomal RNA (460 nucleotides) under uncultured bacterium. Its description in RNAcentral is "partial 16S ribosomal RNA". It matches the Rfam family "Bacterial small subunit ribosomal RNA", at positions 338 to 795 of the family's 1533-position model. The record is from RNAcentral.
CCUACGGGCGGCAGCAGUGAGGAAUAUUGGUCAAUGGACGAGAGUCUGAACCAGCCAAGUAGCGUGAAGGAUGAAUGCCCAAUGGGUUGUAAACUUCUUUUAUAAGGGAAGAAAACAGGGUAUGCAUACCCUCUUGUAUGUACCAUAUGAAUAAGGAUCGGCUAACGCCGUGCACUCAGCCGCGGUAAUACGGAGGAUCCGAGCGUUAUCCGGAUUUAUUGGGUUUAAAGGGAGCGUAGGUGGAUUGUUAAGUCAGUUGUGCAAGUUUGCGGCUCAACCGUAAAAUUGCCGUUGAAACUGGCAGUCUUGCGUACAGUAGAGGUGGGCGUAAUUCGUGGUGUAGCGGUGACAUGCUUCGAUAUCACGCAGAACUCCGAUUGCGAAGGCAGCUCACUGGACUGCAACUGACACUGAUGCUCGAACGUGUGGGUAUCAAACAGGAUUAGAUACCCUAGUAGUC